AGAAGAAUCCAAAAAAAAAAAAAGGGGGGGUGGGGUACGAAUCUCUGUGCACACACAGACACCCACGUCCGGGAUAAUGGUAGUGACCAGUGUGAGACUACCACCAAAAUGGCCGUUUCUUCUCAGAUCCAAGAUCGGAGAAGGCAAUGGCACCCCACUCCAGUACUCUUGCCUGGAAAAUCCCAUGGACGGAGGAGCCUGGUGGGCUGCAGUCCAUAGGGUCACUGAGGGUCGGACACAACUGAGCGACUUCACUUUCACUUUACACUUUCAUGCACUGGAGAAGGAAAUGGCAACCCACUCCAGUGUUCUUGCUUGGAGAAUCCCAGGGACAGGGGAGCCUGGUGGGCUGCCGUCUGUGGGGUCGCACAGAGUCACAAGACUGAAAUGACUUAGCAGCAGCAGCAGCAGAUCCAAGAUGCAGAAGAGAAAUUCCCUGAGAAAAAGUAUGAAAGGUACCUACUUCAGAAGAUUGUGUGAGAAUUAAAUGAGAUAAUGCAUGCAAAACACAGUACAGGGCAAUUUUCAGGCCUCAUUGCAGACCUGCAGAAUUAGAAACUCUGGGAUGGGGCCCAACUAUCUGUUUGUUUAACUUUAAAACUGUUAUGUGUGUGUGUGCGCGCGCGUGCGUGCGCAUGCGCGUGCGUGUGCACGUGCGUGUGUGUGUGCGCGCGCAUGCGCGCUAAGUCGCUUCAGUCAAGUCCGACCCUUUGCUACCCAAUGAACUGUAGCCCGCCGUGGUCUCUGUCCAUGUGGUUCUCGAGAUUUCAUGACUAUAUGGCUUCUGGCUUGUUACCCGCCUGAAAUUCAAAGCCAUCGUUUGUUUCUUGAGCCCAGCUGUG
This is a long non-coding RNA of Bos taurus (domestic cattle), 842 nucleotides long. Lineage: Eukaryota; Metazoa; Chordata; Mammalia; Artiodactyla; Bovidae. The record is from Ensembl.